RNAcentral lists this ribosomal RNA (301 nucleotides) under Salmonella enterica subsp. enterica serovar Virchow. RNAcentral's name for it is "partial 23S ribosomal RNA". It matches the Rfam family "Bacterial large subunit ribosomal RNA", at positions 2624 to 2925 of the family's 2925-position model. Lineage: Bacteria; Pseudomonadati; Pseudomonadota; Gammaproteobacteria; Enterobacterales; Enterobacteriaceae. The record is from RNAcentral.
AGACAGUUCGGUCCCUAUCUACCGUGGGCGUUGGAAAUUUGAGAGGAUCUGCUCCUAGUACGAGAGGACCAGAGUGGACGAACCUCUGGUGUUUCGGUUGUGACGCCAGUCGCAUUGCCGAGUAGCUAUGUUCGGAUGGGAUAACCGCUGAAAGCAUCUAAGCGGGAAGCCCACCUUAAGAUUAGAUUUCCCUAAAGAGCCGUUGUAGACUACGACGUUGAUAGGUUGGGUGUGGAAGCACAGCGAUGUGUGUAGCUAACCAAUACUAAUUGCUCGUUUGGCUUGACUAUACAACGCCUAA